AACGAACGCUGGCGGCAUGCCUAACACAUGCAAGUCGAACGAAGUCUUCGGACUUAGUGGCGCACGGGUGCGUAACGCGUGGGAAUCUGCCUUUGGGUUCGGAAUAACAGUGAGAAAUUACUGCUAAUACCGGAUGAUGUCUUCGGACCAAAGAUUUAUCGCCCAAAGAUGAGCCCGCGUAAGAUUAGCUAGUUGGUGAGGUAAAGGCUCACCAAGGCGACGAUCUUUAGCUGGUCUGAGAGGAUGAUCAGCCACACUGGGACUGAGACACGGCCCAGACUCCUACGGGAGGCAGCAGUGGGGAAUAUUGGACAAUGGGCGAAAGCCUGAUCCAGCAAUGCCGCGUGAGUGAUGAAGGCCUUAGGGUUGUAAAGCUCUUUUACCAGGGAUGAUAAUGACAGUACCUGGAGAAUAAGCUCCGGCUAACUCCGUGCCAGCAGCCGCGGUAAUACGGAGGGAGCUAGCGUUGUUCGGAAUUACUGGGCGUAAAGCGUACGUAGGCGGUUAUUCAAGUCAGAGGUGAAAGCCCGGGGCUCAACCCCGGAACUGCCUUUGAAACUAGAUAACUUGAAUCUUGGAGAGGCGAGUGGAAUUCCGAGUGUAGAGGUGAAAUUCGUAGAUAUUCGGAAGAACACCAGUGGCGAAGGCGACUCGCUGGACAAGUAUUGACGCUGAGGUACGAAAGCGUGGGGAGCAAACA
RNAcentral lists this ribosomal RNA (700 nucleotides) under uncultured Sphingomonadaceae bacterium. RNAcentral's name for it is "bacterial SSU rRNA". It matches the Rfam family "Bacterial small subunit ribosomal RNA", at positions 28 to 774 of the family's 1533-position model. The record is from RNAcentral. Lineage: Bacteria; Pseudomonadati; Pseudomonadota; Alphaproteobacteria; Sphingomonadales; Sphingomonadaceae.